AUGUGGGCUCCUCCCAAAUGCAAGUUCUUUGCUUGGCUAGUUCUCCAGAACCGAGUCUGGACGGCCGAUCGUUUGUCUCGACGGGGAUGGCCCAAUUGCAACAUUUGCCCCCUUUGCAAGCAAGUUCAAGAGUCUGCUGCCCACCUGCUAUUUCAGUGUAGAUUCACGAAUAGAGUUUGGAACGAGAUUACCAUUUGGCUGGGAAUCCAUGACUGCUCACCAAUGAUUUGGUGAAAUGAAGUUUCGGUUCGAACUUGGUGGCAAAAGACGGUGAAUGCGGAUCAUAAGAGAAAGGCUCUUGCCUCUGUUAUGAUUCUUGUCUCAUGGGAGAUAUGGAAAGAACGAAAUGCCAGCAUUUUUCGCAACGCCGCGACUCCGACCACAAUUAUCGUCACGAGAAUUAAAGAGGAGGCCUACCUGUGGACUUUGGUUGGGGCCAAGCAUUUGAGUAGUCUUAUAUUACGAGAGUAG
RNAcentral lists this ribosomal RNA (471 nucleotides) under Triticum aestivum (bread wheat). RNAcentral's name for it is "partial small subunit ribosomal RNA". Lineage: Eukaryota; Viridiplantae; Streptophyta; Magnoliopsida; Poales; Poaceae. The record is from RNAcentral.